Molecule: ribosomal RNA, 487 nt
Filed under: uncultured bacterium
Lineage: Bacteria
Description: SSU rRNA
Rfam family: Bacterial small subunit ribosomal RNA
Source: RNAcentral
AGGACGAACGCUGGCGGCGUGCCUAACACAUGCAAGUCGAACGAGGUUAAUCCGGUAGCAAUACUGGUGACUGCCUAGUGGCGAACGGGUGAGUAGCACGUGAGCAACCUGCCCCGAAGACCGGGACAACACCGGGAAACCGGUGCUAAUACCGGAUACCCCCACCUAAUCGCAUGAUCUGGUGAGGAAAUGGAUUCCGCUUCGGGAGGGGCUCGCGGCCUAUCAGCUAGUUGGUGAGGUAACGGCUCACCAAGGCUUCGACGGGUAGCUGGUCUGAGAGGACGAUCAGCCACACUGGGACUGAGACACGGCCCAGACUCCUACGGGAGGCAGCAGUGGGGAAUCUUGCACAAUGGGCGAAAGCCUGAUGCAGCAACGCCGCGUGAGGACGAAGGCUUUCUGAGUUGUAAACCUCUUUCAGCAGGGACGAUUGUGACGGUACCUGCAGAAGAACGCCCGGCAACUACGUGCCAGCAGCCGCGGUAAU